Long non-coding RNA from Priapulus caudatus, 585 nucleotides. RefSeq lists it as uncharacterized. NCBI's taxonomy places the organism in Eukaryota, Metazoa, Priapulida, Priapulimorpha, Priapulimorphida, Priapulidae. The transcript has 3 exons. The record is from RefSeq and is a predicted model, not a curated record.
GAAGACGGACGUCGUCGCCGCGGCGACGGCGGGGAGCGAGAAUACGGCAGAGUUGUACUGCGUCUGUCGGACUCCCUAUGACACGUCCAGGUUUUACAUCGGCUGCGAUCGGUGCUUCAACUGGUUUCACGGUUCGUGCGUGAACGUGACGGAGAAGCAAGCGGAGGGCGUGAAGGAGUACUUCUGCCCGUCGUGCCGCGCGGACAGGGAGAGGGAGUCGGGUGUCGAGCUGUGUCACAUCUGCAGCCUGGCCAAGUCGAGUGACGACACAGCUAGGGGACGCUGCGUGUGCCUCCCGCCCGGCGAGGACUCGGUCGUCGAGGACGCACUUCUCGACUUCCGCGAGCCUUCCCCCGGAGAAGCCGAAAAGGUCGCCACCCCCAACGCUCCCGCCCCCCGGACGCCGGCACCGGAGUUGGGAGGUGUCGCCGGCAACGCGGCGGAGGAGAAGGAGGUUGGCGGUCGGGGACGCUAUUCGGCUGGCGGGCAGCUCUCUGCGUUCCAGGAGGAGGCGUUCUCGAAAGAGGACCCCGUCGUUCAGGACUUUGUCGAGGAGGAGGUCGACGUCGUCACGUUCGAGCAGGA